UAGUCCACGCUGUAAACGAUGAUCACUCGUUGCUGGCGAUACACUGUCAGUGACUAAGCGAAAGUGUUAAGUGAUCCACCUGGGGAGUACGAUCGCAAGGUUGAAACUCAAAGGAAUUGACGGGGGCCCGCACAAGCGGUGGAGCAUGUGGUUUAAUUCGAUGAUACGCGAGGAACCUUACCAAGGCUUAAAUGUAGAACGACAGUUUGGGAAACCAUUCUUUCUUCGGACGGACUACAAGGUGCUGCAUGGUUGUCGUCAGCUCGUGCUGUGAAGUGUCGGGUUAAGUCCCAUAACGAGCGCAACCCCUAUUUCUAGUUGCCAGCGAGUAAUGUCGGGGACUCUAGAGAAACUGCCGGUGCAAACCGCGAGGAAGGUGGGGAUGACGUCAAAUCAUCACGGCCCUUACGUCUUGGGCUACACACGUGCUACAAUGGUAGGUACAGAGGGACGCCAUGUGGUGACACAGAGCAAAUCUCAAAAGCCUAUCUCAGUUCGGAGUUG
Molecule: ribosomal RNA, 504 nt
Filed under: uncultured bacterium
Lineage: Bacteria
Description: bacterial SSU rRNA
Rfam family: Bacterial small subunit ribosomal RNA
Source: RNAcentral